UACGUAGGGGGCAAGCGUUGUCCGGAUUCAUUGGGCGUAAAGAGCGUGUAGGCGGCCAGGUAGGUCGGUUGUGAAAACUGGAGGCUCAACCUUCAGAGGUCGACCGAAACCAUCUGGCUAGAGUCCGGGAGAGGAGAGUGGAAUUCCUGGUGUAGCGGUGAAAUGCGCAGAUAUCAGGAAGAACACCCGUGGCGAAAGCGGCUCUCUGGAACGGUACUGACGCGGAGACGCGAAAGCGUGGGGAGCGAACAGG
This 253-nucleotide ribosomal RNA is filed under the name uncultured bacterium. RNAcentral describes it as "partial 16S ribosomal RNA". It matches the Rfam family "Bacterial small subunit ribosomal RNA", at positions 524 to 776 of the family's 1533-position model. The record is from RNAcentral.